AACGAACGCUGGCGGCAGGCCUAACACAUGCAAGUCGAACGCCGUAGCAAUACGGAGUGGCAGACGGGUGAGUAACACGUGGGAACGUACCCUUCGGUUCGGGAUAACUCAGGGAAACUUGAGCUAAUACCGGAUACGUCCGAGAGGAGAAAGAUUUAUCGCCGAGGGAUCGGCCCGCGUCUGAUUAGCUUGUUGGUGAGGUAACGGCUCACCAAGGCGACGAUCAGUAGCUGGUCGAGAGGAUGAUCAGCCACAUUGGGACUGAGACACGGCCCAAACUCCUACGGGAGGCAGCAGUGGGGAAUAUUGGACAAUGGGCGCAAGCCUGAUCCAGCCAUGCCGCGUGAGUGAUGAAGGCCCUAGGGUUGUAAAGCUCUUUU
RNAcentral lists this ribosomal RNA (380 nucleotides) under uncultured bacterium. RNAcentral describes it as "bacterial SSU rRNA". It matches the Rfam family "Bacterial small subunit ribosomal RNA", at positions 29 to 437 of the family's 1533-position model. The record is from RNAcentral.